ACGCACGCUGGCGGCGUGCUUAACCCCUGCAAGUCGAACGGGAAGGCCCUGCUUUUGUGGGGUGCUCGAGUGGCGAACGGGUGAGUAACACGUGAGUAACCUGCCCUUGACUUUGGGAUAACUUCAGGAAACUGGGGCUAAUACCGGAUAGGAGCUCCUGCUGCAUGGUGGGGGUUGGAAAGUUUCGGCGGUUGGGGAUGGACUCGCGGCUUAUCAGCUUGUUGGUGGGGUAGUGGCUUACCAAGGCUUUGACGGGUAGCCGGCCUGAGAGGGUGACCGGCCACAUUGGGACUGAGAUACGGCCCAGACUCCUACGGGAGGCAGCAGUGGGGAAUAUUGCACAAUGGGCGGAAGCCUGAUGCAGCAACGCCGCGUGCGGGAUGACGGCCUUCGGGUUGUAAACCGCUUUCGCCUGUGACGAAGCGUGAGUGACGGUAAUGGGUAAAGAAGCACCGGCUAACUACGUG
RNAcentral lists this ribosomal RNA (467 nucleotides) under uncultured bacterium. Its description in RNAcentral is "partial 16S ribosomal RNA". It matches the Rfam family "Bacterial small subunit ribosomal RNA", at positions 29 to 507 of the family's 1533-position model. The record is from RNAcentral.